UGUUGGAUCUUAGCUGCAGGAAGAAGGAGGGUAAAUAUGCAAUUGUCACUGACAGAUGGCAGAAAUUUAGUGAUGUGUAUCUGGAUGAGAAAGAUAUUAGAGUUUCUUGCGAGCUAUGCUGAUGAGUUCUUGGUCCAUGGUGUUGACGUGGAAGGAAAAAAUUAGGAAUUGAUGAAGAGCUUGUGGCUUUGCUU
Molecule: long non-coding RNA, 194 nt
Organism: Eucalyptus grandis
Lineage: Eukaryota; Viridiplantae; Streptophyta; Magnoliopsida; Myrtales; Myrtaceae
Exons: 3
Source: RefSeq, a predicted model, not a curated record